GUUUUCCUACGGGGUGCAGCAGUGGGGGAUAUUGCACAAUGGGGGAAACCCUGAUGCAGCGACGCCGCGUGGGUGAAGAGGCGCCUCGGCGCGUAAAGCUCUGUCUUCAGGGACGAUAAUGACGGUACCUGAGGAGGAAGCCACGGCUAACUACGUGCCAGCAGCCGCGGUAAUACGUAGGUGGCGAGCGUUGUCCGGAUUUACUGGGCGUAAAGGGAGCGUAGGCGGACUUUUAAGUGAGAUGUGAAAUACUCGGGCUCAACUUGAGUGCUGCAUUUUAAACUGGAAGCCUAGAGUGCAGGAGG
Molecule: ribosomal RNA, 305 nt
Filed under: uncultured bacterium
Lineage: Bacteria
Description: bacterial SSU rRNA
Rfam family: Bacterial small subunit ribosomal RNA
Source: RNAcentral